GUACGGAGAUGAUGACAUAAGAAAAGGUGAAGUCGCCGGGAAUGGCGCGUGAGGUUACGUCAGACGGCAACAGGACGGAAUUGAGGAGUGGCUUUGAGUUACGCAAUUAUGUUUAAGUGUAUAUGUAUUUGUGAUGUGGACGGAACGGAGAAACGGGGUGGGCCGAUGCCAACUUAGGAGAAAACCAAAGUUAUCUGAAUUGGGUCUGAUUUUGCAGAAGGAUUUAUGAUUCGGACGAUGAAAAUUG
This is a long non-coding RNA of Solanum pennellii, 247 nucleotides long. RefSeq lists it as uncharacterized. The record is from RefSeq and is a predicted model, not a curated record. The transcript has 3 exons. NCBI's taxonomy places the organism in Eukaryota, Viridiplantae, Streptophyta, Magnoliopsida, Solanales, Solanaceae.